GUGAGCAUAGUUUAACAAAAAUGCCAGAUUGUGAUUCUGAAGAUAGGGGUUAAAACCCCCUCGCCCACC
This 69-nucleotide transfer RNA is filed under the name Trinectes maculatus (hogchoker). RNAcentral's name for it is "tRNA-His". It matches the Rfam family "tRNA". Rfam says of the family: Transfer RNA (tRNA) molecules are approximately 80 nucleotides in length. Their secondary structure includes four short double-helical elements and three loops (D, anti-codon, and T loops). Lineage: Eukaryota; Metazoa; Chordata; Actinopteri; Pleuronectiformes; Achiridae. The record is from RNAcentral.